UUUGAUCCUGGCUCAGAACGAACGCUGGCGGCGUGGAUAAGACAUGCAAGUCGAACGGAUUAUUCAUUGUAGCAAUACAGUGGGUAGUCAGUGGCGCAAGGGUGCGUAACACGUGGGCAACCUGCCCGGAAGUGGGGGAUAGCUCGCCGAAAGGCGAAUUAAUACCGCAUGUGUCUAGAGGUGGAAUCACCUUGAGGGCAAAGUCGGGGCAACCUGACGCUUCUGGAUGGGCCCGCGGCCUAUCAGCUAGUUGGUGAGGUAACGGCUCACCAAGGCGAUGACGGGUAGCUGGUCUGAGAGGACGACCAGCCACACUGGAACUGAGACACGGUCCAGACACCUACGGGUGGCAGCAGUCGAGAAUUUUUCUCAAUGGGGGAAACCCUGAAGGAGCG
This 395-nucleotide ribosomal RNA is filed under the name uncultured Verrucomicrobiota bacterium. RNAcentral's name for it is "bacterial SSU rRNA". It matches the Rfam family "Bacterial small subunit ribosomal RNA", at positions 12 to 393 of the family's 1533-position model. The record is from RNAcentral. Lineage: Bacteria; Pseudomonadati; Verrucomicrobiota.